RNAcentral lists this ribosomal RNA (254 nucleotides) under uncultured bacterium. RNAcentral describes it as "partial 16S ribosomal RNA". It matches the Rfam family "Bacterial small subunit ribosomal RNA", at positions 524 to 776 of the family's 1533-position model. The record is from RNAcentral.
GACGAAGGAUGCAAGCGUUAUCCGGAUUCAUUGGGUUUAAAGGGAGCGUAGGUGGCCUUAUAAGUCAGUGGUGAAAUCUCUCAGCUUAACUGAGAAAUUGCCAUUGAUACUGUAGGGCUUGAGUAUAGUUGCCGUUGGCGGAAUAUGACAUGUAGUGGUGAAAUACAUAGAGAUGUCAUAGAACACCGAUUGCGAAGGCAGCUGACGAAACUAUAACUGACACUGAGGCUCGAAAGUGCGGGGAUCAAAACAGG